RNAcentral lists this ribosomal RNA (465 nucleotides) under uncultured bacterium. RNAcentral's name for it is "partial 16S ribosomal RNA". It matches the Rfam family "Bacterial small subunit ribosomal RNA", at positions 338 to 795 of the family's 1533-position model. The record is from RNAcentral.
CCUACGGGUGGCAGCAGUGGGGAAUAUUGCGCAAUGGGCGAAAGCCUGACGCAGCGACGCCGCGUGCGGGAUUAAGGUCUUCGGAUCGUAAACCUCUGUCAGCAGGGAAGAACGGUCACUGUGCUAAUCAGCAGUGAAUUGACGGUACCUUCAAAGGAAGCACCGGCGAACUCCGUGCCAGCAGCAGCGGUACUACGGAGGGUGCGAGCGUUAAUCGGAAUUACUGGGCGUAAAGCGCUCGUAGGCGGUAGUUCAAGUCAAGGGUGAAAGCCCCGCGCUCAACGUGGGAACUGCCUUUGAAACUGGCAAACUGGAGUGUAGGAGAGGAUAGUGGAAUUCCAGGUGUAGGAGUGAAAUCCGUAGAUAUCUGGAGGAACAUCAGUGGCGAAGGCGACUAUCUGGCACAUAACUGACGCUGAGGAGCGAAAGCGUGGGUAGCAAACAGGAUUAGAUACCCCUGUAGUC